UUGGAUUUAGUUUAAUUUAAAAUUUUUAUUUUUGGUGUAAAAGAUGUAGAUCUAAG
This 56-nucleotide transfer RNA is filed under the name Litomosoides sigmodontis. RNAcentral's name for it is "tRNA-Gln". The record is from RNAcentral. Lineage: Eukaryota; Metazoa; Nematoda; Chromadorea; Rhabditida; Onchocercidae.